UACGUAGGUUCCGAGCGUUAUCCGGAUUUACUGGGCGUAAAGCGCGUUCAGGCGGUUUGGCAAGUCGGGCAUGAAAUCUCUCGGCUCAACCGGGAGAGGUUGUCCGAUACUGCUGGACUUGAGGGCAGUAGAGGGUGGUGGAAUUCCGGGUGUAGUGGUGAAAUGCGUAGAUAUCUGGAGGAACACCGGUGGCGAAGGCGGCAUCCUGGACCGGCAUUGACGCUGAUGUGCGAAAGCGUGGGGAGCAAACAGG
RNAcentral lists this ribosomal RNA (253 nucleotides) under uncultured bacterium. RNAcentral's name for it is "partial 16S ribosomal RNA". It matches the Rfam family "Bacterial small subunit ribosomal RNA", at positions 524 to 776 of the family's 1533-position model. The record is from RNAcentral.